UUGAAGUUUGUGAUGAUUAUAUACCGCCCCAGUCUGAUGGAGGUGAUUGAUUGGUUUUCUGAAAUCUG
This is a non-coding RNA of Procambarus clarkii (red swamp crayfish), 68 nucleotides long. The record is from RefSeq and is a predicted model, not a curated record. Lineage: Eukaryota; Metazoa; Arthropoda; Malacostraca; Decapoda; Cambaridae.